RNAcentral lists this transfer RNA (68 nucleotides) under Protonemura orbiculata. Its description in RNAcentral is "tRNA-Met". It matches the Rfam family "tRNA". Rfam says of the family: Transfer RNA (tRNA) molecules are approximately 80 nucleotides in length. Their secondary structure includes four short double-helical elements and three loops (D, anti-codon, and T loops). The record is from RNAcentral. Lineage: Eukaryota; Metazoa; Arthropoda; Insecta; Plecoptera; Nemouridae.
AGAAAGAUAAGCUAACUAAGCUACUGGGUUCAUACCCCAUUUAUAGGAGUUUAACCUCCUUCUCUCUA